UUAUGUUUGUAUUUGCUGUUGUUUUCUGAAUAUGAACCCUUGUUUGAUGGUUUCAGAUCAUUCCUCAAAUCUCCACCCUGCCGUGGUACACCACCCUGGUGCCGUUAGUGCUGGUGCUGGGCAUCACCGCCAUCAAAGACCUGGUGGAUGACCUGGCACGACACAGGAUGGACAAAGAAAUCAACAACAGGAAGUGUGACGUGCUGCUCAACAGCAGGUUUGAAGAAACCAGAUGGAUGAACCUACAAGUUGGUGACGUGGUCAGACUAAAGAAAAACGAUUUUAUCCCGGUAAGUUGUU
Long non-coding RNA from Puntigrus tetrazona (Sumatra barb), 300 nucleotides. RefSeq lists it as uncharacterized. NCBI's taxonomy places the organism in Eukaryota, Metazoa, Chordata, Actinopteri, Cypriniformes, Cyprinidae. The record is from RefSeq and is a predicted model, not a curated record. The transcript has 3 exons.